CUUGCUCCGCUGACGACCGGCGCACGGGUGCGCAACGCGUAUGCAAUCUACCUCUUACUAAGGGAUAGCCCAGAGAAAUUUGGAUUAAUAUCUUAUGUGAUAUUAGACUGGCAUCGGUUUAAUAUUAAAGGUUACGGUAAGAGAUGAGCAUGCGUCUCAUUAGUUAGUUGGUAAGGUAACGGCUUACCAAGACUUCGAUGAGUAGGGGUCCUGAGAGGGAGAUCCCCCACACUGGUACUGAGACACGGACCAGACUCCUACGGGAGGCAGCAGUGAGGAAUAUUGGACAAUGGACGGAAGUCUGAUCCAGCCAUGCCGCGUGUAGGAAGACUGCCCUAUGGGUUGUAAACUACUUUUAUACAGGAAGAAUAAGAUCUACGUGUAGAUUGAUGACGGUACUGUAAGAAUAAGGACCGGCUAACUCCGUGCCAGCAGCCGCGGUAAUACGGAGGGUCCGAGCGUUAUCCGGAAUUAUUGGGUUUAAAGGGUCCGUAGGCGGGCUGUUAAGUCAGAGGUGAAAUGCUGCGGCUCAACCGUAUGCACUGCCUUUGAUACUGGCGGUCUUGAGUUAUAGUGAAGUGGCUAGAAUAAGUAGUGUAGCGGUGAAAUGCAUAGAUAUUACUUAGAAUACCGAUUGCGAAGGCAGGUCACUAACUAUACACUGACGCUGAUGGACGAAAGCGUGGGUAGCGAACAGGAUUAGAUACCCUGGUAGUCCACGCCGUAAACGAUGGAUACUAGCUGUUCGGUUUUCGGACUGAGCGGCCAAGCGAAAGUGAUAAGUAUCCCACCUGGGGAGUACGUUCGCAAGAAUGAAACUCAAAGGAAUUGACGGGGGCCCGCACAAGCGGUGGAGCAUGUGGUUUAAUUCGAUGAUACGCGAGGAACCUUACCAGGGCUUAAAUGUAGAUUGACAGGUUUAGAGAUAGACUUUUCUUCGGACAAUUUACAAGGUGCUGCAUGGUUGUCGUCAGCUCGUGCCGUGAGGUGUCAGGUUAAGUCCUAUAACGAGCGCAACCCCUGUCGUUAGUUGCCAGCAUGUCAUGAUGGGGACUCUAACGAGACUGCCGGUGCAAACCGUGAGGAAGGUGGGGAUGACGUCAAAUCAUCACGGCCCUUACGUCCUGGGCCACACACGUGCUACAAUGGUCGGUACAGAGAGCAGCC
RNAcentral lists this ribosomal RNA (1167 nucleotides) under Cellulophaga sp. MAR_2009_160_2. RNAcentral describes it as "bacterial SSU rRNA". It matches the Rfam family "Bacterial small subunit ribosomal RNA", at positions 79 to 1251 of the family's 1533-position model. Lineage: Bacteria; Pseudomonadati; Bacteroidota; Flavobacteriia; Flavobacteriales; Flavobacteriaceae. The record is from RNAcentral.